GACGAACGCUGGCGGCGUUCUUAACACAUGCUAGUCGAACGGAAAGGCCCUGCUUUUGUGGGGUGCUCGAGUGGCGAACGGGUGAGUAACACGUGAGUAACCUGCCCUUUACUUUGGGAUAACUUCAGGAAACUGUGGCUAAUACCGGAUAGGAGCUCCUGCUGCAUGGUGGUGGUUGGAAAGUUUCGGCGGUUGGGGAUGGACUCGCGGCUUAUCAGCUUGUUGUUGGGGUAGUGGCUUACCAAGGCUUUGACGGUUAGCCGGCCUGAGAGGGUGACCGGCCACAUUGGGACUGAGAUACGGCACAGCCUCCUACGGGAGGCAGCAGUGGGGAAUAUUGCCCAAUGGGCGGAAGCCUGAUGCAGCAACGCCGCGUGCGGGAUGACGGCCUUCGGGUUGUAACCCGCUUUCGCCUGUGACGAAGCGUGAGUGACGGUAAUGGGUAAAGAAGCACCGGCUAAAUACGUG
RNAcentral lists this ribosomal RNA (468 nucleotides) under uncultured bacterium. RNAcentral describes it as "partial 16S ribosomal RNA". It matches the Rfam family "Bacterial small subunit ribosomal RNA", at positions 28 to 507 of the family's 1533-position model. The record is from RNAcentral.